AGAGAGAGCCUGGACCUCAACAUGAGCAUUUGGAGCCAUUUGGCAGCAUUAGGCUGUGACCGCUUGGAGAACCGAAAGGGCGA
This 83-nucleotide long non-coding RNA is filed under the name Theropithecus gelada (gelada). RNAcentral's name for it is "lncRNA (ENSTGEG00000026288.1)". The record is from RNAcentral. Lineage: Eukaryota; Metazoa; Chordata; Mammalia; Primates; Cercopithecidae.